RNAcentral lists this ribosomal RNA (483 nucleotides) under uncultured bacterium. Its description in RNAcentral is "partial 16S ribosomal RNA". It matches the Rfam family "Bacterial small subunit ribosomal RNA", at positions 28 to 507 of the family's 1533-position model. The record is from RNAcentral.
GACGAACGCUGGCGGCGUGCUUAACACAUGCAAGUCGAACGCUGAAGCUCAGCCUUUGUUGGGUGGAUGAGUGGCGAACGGGUGAGUAACACGUGAGUAACCUGCCUCCUUCUUUGGGAUAACGCCCGGAAACGGGUGCUAAUACCGGAUAUUCACUGGUCUUCGCAUGGGGGUUGGUGGAAAGGGUUUUUCUGGUGGGGGAUGGGCUCGCGGCCUAUCAGCUUGUUGGUGGGGUGAUGGCCUACCAAGGCUUUGACGGGUAGCCGGCCUGAGAGGGUGACCGGUCACAUUGGGACUGAGAUACGGCCCAGACUCCUACGGGAGGCAGCAGUGGGGAAUAUUGCACAAUGGGCGCAAGCCUGAUGCAGCGACGCCGCGUGAGGGAUGGAGGCCUUCGGGUUGUGAACCUCUUUCGCUCAUGGUCAAGCCGCAACAAUGGUUGUGGUGAGGGUAGUGGGUAAAGAAGCGCCGGCUAACUACGUG